Molecule: ribosomal RNA, 1325 nt
Filed under: metagenome
Description: bacterial SSU rRNA
Rfam family: Bacterial small subunit ribosomal RNA
Source: RNAcentral
GGAAAACCUGAUUAAUACCGCAUAUGGCCUACGGGUCAAAGUCUUCGGACGCCUUGAGAGGAGCCCGCGGCCCAUUAUUUAAUCCUAGUUGGUGGGGUAAUGGCCUACCAAGGGUACGAUGGGUAGCUGGACUGAGAGGACGAUCAGCCACACUGGAACUGAGACACGGUCCAGACUCCUACGGGAGGCAGCAGUGGGGAAUAUUGCGCAAUGGGCGAAAGCCUGACGCAGCCAACCCGCGUGUGUGAUGAAGGCCUUCGGGUUGUAAAGCACUGUCGUGAGGGAAGAAGUUCUGACGGUACCUCACAAGAAAGCACCGGCUAACUCCGUGCCAGCAGUUGCGGUAAUACGGAGGGUGCAAGCGUUGCUCGGAAUCACUGGGCGUAAAGGGUCCGCAGGCGGCUUGGGGUCGGAUGUGAAAGCCCAGGCUCAACCCUGGAACUGCAUUCGAAACCCCCUGGCUUGAAUACGAGAGAGGAAAGUGGAAUUCCUGGUGUAGAGGUGAAAUUCGUAGAUAUCAGGAGGAACACCAGUGGCGAAAGCGACUUUCUGGCUCGAUAUUGACGCUCAUGGACGAAAGCGUGGGUAGUAAAUAGGAUUAGAUAUCCUGGUAGUCCACGCCGUAAACGAUGAAUGCUAGCUAACGGUCCUUUUACCGGAUCGUCGGCGUCGCUAAUGCAUUAAGCAUUCCGCCUGGGAAGUACGGCCGUAAGGCUAAAACUCAAAGGAAUUGACGGGGGCCCGCACAAGCGGUGGAGCAUGUGGUUUAAUUCGAAGCAAUGUGCAGAAUUUUACCCAGACUUGACAUCUUUAGAAGCCCUUGGAAACUUGGGUGUGCCGUCUUAUGACGGAACUUUAUGACAGGUGCUGCAUGGCUGUCGUCAGCUCGUGCUGUGAGGUGUUUGGUUAAGUUUGGCAAUGAGCGCAACCCUUAUCGUUAGUUACCAUUAUUAAGUUGGGGAUUCUAGCGAGACUGCCGGUGAUAAACCGGAGGAAGGUGGGGACGACGUCAAGUCCUUAUGGCCCCUUAUGUCUGGGGCUACACACGUGCUAUAAUGACAUCUAUAAAGGGCAGCGAAGCGGCGAUGUGGAGUAAAUCCCAAAAAAGAUGCCUCAGUUCGGAUAGGAGUCCGUAAUUUGACUCCUUGAAGCUGGAAUCGCUAGUAAUCGCGGAUUAGUAUGCCGCGGUGAAUAUGUUUUCGGGCUUUGUAUAUAUCGCCCGUCACACCAUGGGAGUUGUCCGCGCCUGAAGCCGUGACCCGAAUUCUUUGAAUAGGGAGCGUCUACGGCGAGGUCGGCGACUGGGGUGAAGUUGUAAUAAGGUA